CUCAUGGUCUCCAGCAUCCAAGGAGAGUGUGGGCAGCUGGAGCCAGGUCCUCCUCCUCCUCCUUCUCCUCUUCUUCCUCCUUCGUUUCUUCCUUUCCUCCUCCACCUGCCUAUUGCAGAGCAGCAGAAAGCAAAGGAGCUAGAAAAGGUUAGCACUGCCUCUAAGGUCUCCUGCAACUCACCCACCCACCCCUCUUACUCCAUGGUAUUCAACUUCUAAACUAAGAGGAAAGCCCGAGCUAGAGGUCCUAUGCAUCAAUCAGGGAAGAGAUAUUGAGAAGAAUAAACAGAGAAACUGAGUUCAAGCUUAACUCCCAACCCCUUGAGUGUGGGCUAGACUUAGUGACCUGCUUCUAAGGAAUAGAGUAUGGAAAGAGGAAAAUAGCAACAUUACAGGAGAGAAACCUGAAAGCAACUUAACCAAGUGAUCACAGAAUCACUGGUAAUAACUCUUGUUGAUAUCAUGUGCCCCCAAUACAGUAUGAUGAAAAGACCCAUCAUCUCGGUGAUAUUUAUCCUCAAAAUCUAUAAUCUUACAACAAUUAUGAGAAAAUAUAGACAAACCCAAUUUGAAAGGAAGCAAGUCUACAAGAUACUUAACCAGUACUUUACAAAAGUGACAAGGUCACAAAAGACAGCACAAGACUGAGAAACUCACAGAUUGGAGGAAGCCAAAGAGACAUCAUGGCUGAGAUCAUGGUGGUGGAACCCUGGUUUGGAUCCUGGAACAGAAAAAAAGAACACUAAGUGGAAAAACUGAUGAAAUAUAAAUAACAUAAUAAAAAUCUAUAAUUUAAUUAAUGGUAUUGUACGACUAUUAAUCUCUUAAGUUUUAAAAAAUGGACCAUUAUUAUGUAAGAUAUUAACGUCAGG
RNAcentral lists this long non-coding RNA (872 nucleotides) under Homo sapiens (human). Its description in RNAcentral is "HSALNT0315526". The record is from RNAcentral. Lineage: Eukaryota; Metazoa; Chordata; Mammalia; Primates; Hominidae.